UACGUAGGGGGCAAGCGUUGUCCGGAUUUAUUGGGCGUAAAGAGCGUGUAGGCGGCCGUACAGGUCAGCUGUGAAAACUCGAGGCUCAACCUCGAGACGUCGGUUGAAACCGUACGGCUAGAGUCCGGAAGAGGAGAGUGGAAUUCCCGGUGUAGCGGUGAAAUGCGCAGAUAUCGGGAAGAACACCCGUGGCGAAGGCGGAUCUCUGGGCCAUUACUGACGCUGAGGAGCGAAAGCGUGGGGAGCGAACAGG
RNAcentral lists this ribosomal RNA (253 nucleotides) under uncultured bacterium. RNAcentral's name for it is "partial 16S ribosomal RNA". It matches the Rfam family "Bacterial small subunit ribosomal RNA", at positions 524 to 776 of the family's 1533-position model. The record is from RNAcentral.